AGAGCGAACGCUGGCGGCAGGCCUAAUACAUGCAAGUCGAACGGAUCCUUCGGGAUUAGUGGCGGACGGGUGAGUAACACGUGGGAACGUACCCUUUGGUUCGGAACAACUCAGGGAAACUUGAGCUAAUACCGAAUGUGCCCUUCGGGGAAAAGAUUUAUCGCCAUUGGAGCGGCCCGCGUCUGAUUAGCUAGUUGGUGGGUAAAGGCCUACCAAGGCUACGAUCAGUAGCUGGUCUGAGAGGAUGAUCAGCCACACUGGGACUGAGACACGGCCCAGACUCCUACGGGAGGCAGCAGUAGGGAAUCUUGCGCAAUGGGCGAAAGCCUGACGCAGCCAUGCCGCGUGAAUGAUGAAGGUCUUAGGAUUGUAAAAUUCUUUCAGCGGGGACGAUAAUGACGGUACCCGCAGAAGAACGCCCGGCUAACUUCGCGCCAGCAGCCGC
RNAcentral lists this ribosomal RNA (445 nucleotides) under uncultured bacterium. RNAcentral's name for it is "SSU rRNA". It matches the Rfam family "Bacterial small subunit ribosomal RNA", at positions 26 to 518 of the family's 1533-position model. The record is from RNAcentral.